AGUGAACGCUGGCGGCAGGCCUAAUACAUGCAAGUCGAACGGCAGCACAGCAGAGCUUGCUCUGUGGGUGGCGAGUGGGCGGACGGGUGAGGAAUACAUGGGAAUCUGCCCAGUCGUGGGGGAUAACGUAGGGAAACUUACGCUAAUACCGCAUGCGCCCUUCGGGGGAAAGCCGGGGACCUUCGGGCCUGGCGCGAUUGGAUGAGCCCAUGUCGGAUUAGCUAGUUGGCGGGUAAUGGCCCACCAAGGCGACGAUCCGUAGCUGGUCUGAGAGGAUGAUCAGCCACACUGGAACUGAGACACGGUCCAGACUCCUACGGGAGGCAGCAGUAGGGAAUAUUGGACAAUGGGCGCAAGCCUGAUCCAGCCAUGCCGCGUGAGUGAAGAA
RNAcentral lists this ribosomal RNA (388 nucleotides) under uncultured bacterium. RNAcentral's name for it is "bacterial SSU rRNA". It matches the Rfam family "Bacterial small subunit ribosomal RNA", at positions 29 to 412 of the family's 1533-position model. The record is from RNAcentral.